CCUACGGGCGGCAGCAGUGGGGAAUAUUGGACAAUGGGGGCAACCCUGAUCCAGCCAUGCCGCGUGUGUGAAGAAGGCCCUCGGGUUGUAAAGCACUUUCAGUGAGGAAGAACGCCUGGUGGUUAAUACACAUCAGGAAAGACAUCACUCACAGAAGAAGCACCGGCUAACUCCGUGCCAGCAGCCGCGGUAAUACGGAGGGUGCGAGCGUUAAUCGGAAUUACUGGGCGUAAAGCGCGCGUAGGUGGCUUGAUAAGCCGGUUGUGAAAGCCCCGGGCUCAACCUGGGAACGGCAUCCGGAACUGUCAAGCUAGAGUGCAGGAGAGGAAGGUAGAAUUCCCUGUGUAGCGGUGAAAUGCGUAGAGAUCGGGAGGAAUACCAGUGGCGAAGGCGGCCUUCUGGACUGACACUGACACUGAGGUGCGAAAGCGUGGGUAGCAAACAGGAUUAGAUACCCCUGUAGUC
RNAcentral lists this ribosomal RNA (465 nucleotides) under Vreelandella stevensii. RNAcentral describes it as "partial 16S ribosomal RNA". It matches the Rfam family "Bacterial small subunit ribosomal RNA", at positions 338 to 795 of the family's 1533-position model. Lineage: Bacteria; Pseudomonadati; Pseudomonadota; Gammaproteobacteria; Oceanospirillales; Halomonadaceae. The record is from RNAcentral.